GAGGGUAUAGCUCAGUGGUAGAGUACAUGCUUAGCAUGCACGAGGUCCUGGGUUCAAUCCCCAGGACCUCCA
RNAcentral lists this transfer RNA (72 nucleotides) under Camelus bactrianus (Bactrian camel). It matches the Rfam family "tRNA". From Rfam's summary of the family: Transfer RNA (tRNA) molecules are approximately 80 nucleotides in length. Their secondary structure includes four short double-helical elements and three loops (D, anti-codon, and T loops). Further hydrogen bonds mediate the characteristic L-shaped molecular structure. tRNAs have two regions of fundamental functional importance: the anti-codon, which is responsible for specific mRNA codon recognition, and the 3' end, to which the tRNAs corresponding amino acid is attached (by aminoacyl-tRNA synthetases). tRNAs cope with the degeneracy of the genetic code in two manners: having more than one tRNA (with a specific anti-codon) for a particular amino acid; and 'wobble' base-pairing, i.e. permitting non-standard base-pairing at the 3rd anti-codon position. RNAcentral also lists the same sequence under 3 other names. Lineage: Eukaryota; Metazoa; Chordata; Mammalia; Artiodactyla; Camelidae. The record is from Rfam by way of RNAcentral.